UUCCUGGUGGUCCAGUGGGUAAGGCCCCAUGCUCCCAAUGCAGGGGGCCCAGGUUCAAGCCCUGGUCAGGAAA
Molecule: non-coding RNA, 73 nt
Organism: Bos taurus (domestic cattle)
Lineage: Eukaryota; Metazoa; Chordata; Mammalia; Artiodactyla; Bovidae
Source: Rfam